GACGAACGCUGGCGGCGUGCUUAACACAUGCAAGUCGAACGGAAAGGCCCUGCUUUUGUGGGGUGCUCGAGUGGCGAACGGGUGAGUAACACGUGAGUAACCUGCCCUUGACUUUGGGAUAACUUCAGGAAACUGGGGCUAAUACCGGAUAGGAGCUCCUGCUGCAUGGUGGGGGUUGGAAAGUUUCGGCGGUUGGGGAUGGACUCGCGGCUUAUCAGCUUGUUGGUGGGGUAGUGGCUUACCAAGGCUUUGACGGGUAGCCGGCCUGAGAGGGUGACCGGCCACAUUGGGACUGAGAUACGGCCCAGACUCCUACGGGAGGCAGCAGUGGGGAAUAUUGCACAAUGGGCGGAAGCCUGAUGCAGCAACGCCGCGUGCGGGAUGACGGCCUUCGGGUUGUAAACCGCUUUCGCCUGUGACGAAGCGUGAGUGACGGUAAUGGGUAAAGAAGCACCGGCUAACUACGUGCCAGCAGCCGCGGUGAUACGUAGGGUGCGAGCGUUGUCCGGAUUUAUUGGGCGUAAAGGGCUCGUAGGUGGUUGAUCGCGUCGGAAGUGUAAUCUUGGGGCUUAACCCUGAGCGUGCUUUCGAUACGGGUUGACUUGAGGAAGGUAGGGGAGAAUGGAAUUCCUGGUGGAGCGGUGGAAUGCGCAGAUAUCAGGAGGAACACCAGUGGCGAAGGCGGUUCUCUGGGCCUUUCCUGACGCUGAGGAGCGAAAGCGUGGGGAGCGAACAGGCUUAGAUACCCUGGUAGUCCACGCUGUAAACGGUGGGUACUAGGUGUGGGGUCCAUUCCACGGGUUCCGUGCCGUAGCUAACGCUUUAAGUACCCCGCCUGGGGAGUACGGCCGCAAGGCUAAAACUCAAAGGAAUUGACGGGGCCCCGCACAAGCGGCGGAGCAUGCGGAUUAAUUCGAUGCAACGCGUAGAACCUUACCUGGGUUUGACAUGGAUCGGGAGUGCUCAGAGAUGGGUGUGCCUCUUUUGGGGUCGGUUCACAGGUGGUGCAUGGCUGUCGUCAGCUCGUGUCGUGAGAUGUUGGGUUAAGUCCCGCAACGAGCGCAACCCUUGUUCACUGUUGCCAGCACGUUAUGGUGGGGACUCAGUGGAGACCGCCGGGGUCAACUCGGAGGAAGGUGGGGGUGACGUCAAGUCAUCAUGCCCCUUAUGUCCAGGGCUUCACGCAUGCUACAAUGGCUGGUACAGAGAGUGGCGAGCCUGUGAGGGUGAGCGAAUCUCGGAAAGCCGGUCUCAGUUCGGAUUGGGGUCUGCAACUCGACCUCAUGAAGUCGGAGUCGCUAGUAAUCGCAGAUCAGCAACGCUGCGGUGAAUACGUUCCCGGG
RNAcentral lists this ribosomal RNA (1343 nucleotides) under uncultured bacterium. Its description in RNAcentral is "16S ribosomal RNA". It matches the Rfam family "Bacterial small subunit ribosomal RNA", at positions 28 to 1378 of the family's 1533-position model. The record is from RNAcentral.